RNAcentral lists this long non-coding RNA (1718 nucleotides) under Neodiprion pinetum (white pine sawfly). Its description in RNAcentral is "uncharacterized LOC124218808". Lineage: Eukaryota; Metazoa; Arthropoda; Insecta; Hymenoptera; Diprionidae. The record is from RNAcentral.
UCUCGAAAGUUAUAUUUUGAGAUUUCUUUGUGUAAUUUCUCGAAUUUCUAAAUAUUGUAAAUCAUUAAUUCUAUCGUCUACGAAUAACCCUCUCGUAGAUUGUCUUUCGUAAUUUACAGUCCUUCCUAUGCUCUCGUUUGAGCUACCGAUUGCGUAAAUUGUUAAUGAAUGUGAAUCUUUCUUAUUAGUUAGAAUCUAUGGUAACGUCUGUCUUAUUCUUUUGUUAUUAUCUCCCGAGCUAUGAUCAUUUUUGUUAUCUAUCGAUUUGCAAUAAAGUUCUCACCCUCGCUUUAAACUAACGGAGUAAUAAUUCGCAUGGCGUCAUUCUUUGAAAAUUGAGUAAAAUCACGUCGCCCAGUGACGUGUAGUCUUAAGUAAAGUCUUGCUGUACAUCGCUUCUUCCGACCUACGCGAUUUUAUUCAAUUUCAUUUUUGAUGACUUAUUGAUCCUUGCUAACUUGUGUAACCUAACUUGACUGACUCGAAUGUGUAAGCCUAAUCAACAACAUAAUCGACUGAUUGACCUGUUAAUUUUCCCUCACUUGAGUUUAUUCUUGAUUUCUUUAUUUCUUCAUUUCUUCAAUUAUUUAAUUAUCGUUAGCUGCCUUGAAUAUCGCCACUCUACCACUUUGUGUGUCUAGUAAAUUUUUUUUUUCAAUAUUUAGCUUGAAAAUAAGUAUACGGAACGAUUGGCAAUGAGAGAAAAAUUAUACGCCUUUUUGGCUUUACAUGUGUUGCUCUCUAAAGCCAAAAGGGCUUAUAAGUAAGUGUGAGCCCUUCUGGCACUAGCACCGCGAUAUAUCAGUGUACACUUUUUUACAUCCAAAUUUCAAAAAGUGAAAAUGUGAACCCAAAAAAAUUCGGACCACUCCAUGUAUUGUACAUUGUAUAUCUUGCUCAUCAAAGGUUAAAAAUCAAACAUUUAAACUCAUAGAAAAAUGUUUGCUUUUAAGUGAACCUGAUUUUUUUUUAAUUUUUUCAUUCAACUUUAGGAUUAAAUAUACAACCCACUCACGUUUUGUCGGAGCGACCAAAAAAUUAAAAUGGAAAUACUUUUUUAUACGAAUCGAAAAUAUCUCAUAAUUAUUUAUUCGAUAAUCAUUUUCUUGCAGUGAAUUAGUUGGUGGAGAACGCCUCAUAUUUCUAUUCUACACACAAGAGUUCAUUGGCACUUGUUACCGCAGCGGUGACAACAGGCAUUAAGGAAAAGCAGAAGAAGAAAACGAAGAAGAGGAAGAAGAUGUUCAAUGUCCCAGAGCUGAGUGGGGGAUUGUUUACGGUAUUCAGUCAGUCUUUAUUUCAAAAAAUCAUUCAACGGGUUUGUUUUUACGUCAAGAUGAAGCGUUUAUUAUCAUGUGAACAUCACAAGCUCGAGACAGUCUUUUGGCAAUCCAUAAAUAAUAUUCUAUGUUUCAAUUUUCACGUACAUUUACGACUAGUAAAAAAAUUAUUCGAUUUCUCUCUUCUUCUGUGUAUCUAUUUACCUACCUAUCUCUCGUUUGAUUAUAUCCUUACGUACAAAAUUUAACAAUUUCACAAAUAUUCAUCAAUAGAAAACAGUAUAUCCGAUUAAUAUGUUAAUUAAUAGAGAUACGAUGUAAAUCGUACAUGUAAUAUAUCGAGUCAUUUUCUGGAACGGACCUGCUCGCCACCUCGUUUAUAUGUGUAGCCAACUUCACUGCUAACUAACAGCACUGACUUAAUUACAUAAUUAUUUU